CGACCGUGUGGUCAAGGAUACGGGUGCCGUUGUGGUCGGCACCGACCAUCAGACAGGGGGUUCCACGCCCCAGGGCCGC
RNAcentral lists this transfer RNA (79 nucleotides) under Methylobacterium radiotolerans. RNAcentral describes it as "tRNA-His". Lineage: Bacteria; Pseudomonadati; Pseudomonadota; Alphaproteobacteria; Hyphomicrobiales; Methylobacteriaceae. The record is from RNAcentral.